Molecule: long non-coding RNA, 1485 nt
Organism: Cyprinus carpio (common carp)
Lineage: Eukaryota; Metazoa; Chordata; Actinopteri; Cypriniformes; Cyprinidae
Source: Ensembl
AUGUGUAUGUUCUGUGUAUAUUUAUUAUGUUUAUAUAAAAACACACACAUACAUUAGAUAUUUUGAAAAUAUUUACAUGUAUUUGCAUGUCUACAUUUAUAUUCAUAUAAUUUAUAUUAUAAAUAAAUAUAUUUAAUAUAUAAAAAUAACAUUUUUAUAAAAUAUAUACAUGCAUAUGUGUGUAUUUAUAUAUGCAUAAUAAAUAAACUCAGUACACAUACAUAUUUUAUGUAAACAAAAACUUUUUAAUCGUUUGACAGCAUUAAUCUGAAUCAAAUCAGAAUCAAACUGAAUCAAGAGCUUGUACUAGGAAUCAAAUCAAGAAAUGUGUAUCAAUACCCAGCCCCCAUUUGAACAUGUUUCCAAUCCAUUUCAGGUCGAAGGGGUGGUGUUGCCAAAGGCAAGGGUGGCUUUAUGCACAUGUAUGCCAAGAAUUUCUAUGGCGGGAAUGGUAUUGUUGGUGCCCAGGUGAGAUGCACGCAUCAUAGCUUGCAACAAUAUUACAUCAGGCAUUUCUAAAUCUAAAUUUCACUGUUUUGAAGGUUCCUCUUGGGGCAGGUGUGGCCCUGGCAUGCCAGUAUCAGGGUAAGAAUGAGGUUUGUGUCACUCUUUAUGGGGAUGGAGCUGCUAAUCAGGGCCAGAUCUUUGAGUCGUUUAACAUGGCUGCUUUGUGGAAACUCCCCUGUAUUUUCAUCUGUGAGAAUAAUAAAUAUGGCAUGGGGACAUCAGUGGAAUGGGCCUCAGCCAGCACAGACUAUUACAAGAGAGGAGACUACAUUCCUGGUCUGAGGGUAACUUUUUUUUAUAGUUUUUAUUUUUAUUUUUUAUAGCUGCCUCAUCCUGUUUUUAUGUUCACUAGUGCAUGCAAAUUUAUACAGAAGUACAUAAAAGGCACAUAAGUCAAGCAAAUAAGUCAAGCCUGUUCCUUUGUUUUCUCCAGGUAGAUGGUAUGGAUGUUCUCAGCGUGAGAGAGCAACCAGGUUUGUGGCAGAUUAUUGCAGAUCUGGAAAGGUAAAAGAAAAGUGGCAUAUUUUACUUGCUUAACAAGUCAAGGAGAGGUAAUAGAUUUAAAGGAAGUAGUUCACCCUAAAAAGAACAUUUGCUGAAAAUUUACUCACCCUCAGGCCGAACGAGAUGAAGAUGAAUUUUUUUUUUCAUCAGAACAGAUUUGGAUAAAUUUAGCAUUACAUCACUUGCUCACCAAUGGAUCCUCUAGAGUGAAUGGGUGCCGUCAGAAUGGGAGUCCAAAAAGCUGAUAAAAACAUCACAAUAAUCCACAAGUAACCAACAAGACUCUAUGACUCUUAAACUAAUGUCUUAUGAAGUAAAAAGCUGCAUGUUUGUGAUAAACAAAUGUAUCAUUAAGACGUUUUAAUACCACAACAAUCCAUAAUAACAGUUUCCUCCAGAGAAAAAAUCAAAUCACAUCAAAAUCCACCAACAUAUUUGAAUAAAACUGUUUGUGCUUUGUACUUAUCUGUUUAU